GAUGAACGCUGGCGGCGUGCUUAACACAUGCAAGUCGAGCGAAGCACCUUGACGGAUUUUUUCGGAUUGAAGCCUUGGUGACUGAGCGGCGGACGGGUGAGUAACGCGUGGGUAACCUGCCUCAUACAGGGGGAUAACAGUUGGAAACGGCUGCUAAUACCGCAUAAGCGCACAGUACCGCAUGGUACGGUGUGAAAAACUCCGGUGGUAUGAGAUGGACCCGCGUCUGAUUAGGUAGUUGGUGGGGUAACGGCCUACCAAGCCGACGAUCAGUAGCCGACCUGAGAGGGUGACCGGCCACAUUGGGACUGAGACACGGCCCAAACUCCUACGGGAGGCAGCAGUGGGGAAUAUUGCACAAUGGGGGAAACCCUGAUGCAGCGACGCCGCGUGAGCGAUGAAGUAUUUCGGUAUGUAAAGCUCUAUCAGCAGGGAAGAAAAUGACGGU
This 448-nucleotide ribosomal RNA is filed under the name uncultured bacterium. Its description in RNAcentral is "bacterial SSU rRNA". It matches the Rfam family "Bacterial small subunit ribosomal RNA", at positions 28 to 458 of the family's 1533-position model. The record is from RNAcentral.